GCGGCCCCUCGCCCCAGGGCGGGGCCCGAGCACCGCCGCCCACUGCGGAGCCGGGGCCCGAGGCCCAGCGCGGGGGCGCGAAUGGAGCCGUGGGGCGAUCUGGGCCAGCUGCUUCCUCGCUUGUAACUAGUAAUAACGAGUUCUUACCCCUCCCUGCGGGCUGCAGAGACCCUAUACUGCGGCCCUCGUCCCUGCCCAGACCCCCCGCCCGCUGCGGGCGGAUUCGCAGAGUUUGGGGACGUGCCCGGGCGUUUCCCCUGCCCAUUCUGUGCCCCUUCUGCCUGCUGUCGGUCUGCAGUGGUGGCAUUAGCGGGCACACCAGAGAGGAGACUUUUCUAGGGCUACCGAGUGGCAUGUCGCAAAUCCCCGUUCAGAAGUUCUCCCAGGGGCCCGGAAACCGGGCCAAGAGAUCUUCAGAUCAAAAGGAACCAUCUCCAAGGGACCACAUCUGAGGGGCCUCAUUUGUACCUGGACCUGAAUUAGAUGUCAAGGUCCUAGAUUUGGAACCUGAGUCUGAUGACUUAAUGGCUGAGACAUUGGGGGUCUUGGAAGCCAUCCAGCGGAAGCACCAGAUAUGUGAGUGAGGAUGCCGCCAUCUUGGAUAUACAGUCCAGUUGAGCCAACAUUGCCGCUAUUUGACUGCAAUCAUGUGAGAAACCUGCCCCCAUAAGUGACUACCAAGCCCAGUCAACCUAUAGUACUGUGAGAGAUAAAAAUAAUUUAUUUAAGCCACUAAGUUUUAGGGUUUCUUAUGCAGCACUAGAUAACUGAAACAGUACAAAAAAUGCAUCUGUUUUAAUAAAAAAUGUAAAUUGAAGUAAAUUGUAAACGAUCAAAACUAAAAUUACUUCUCAUGUAAGUUUUAGAAGUUAUUUUUCUUUAAACUCUUCAUAAUUAUGCAUUAAAAUUAAAAAGCAAAUAUAACUAUAAC
Long non-coding RNA from Lemur catta (Ring-tailed lemur), 931 nucleotides. RefSeq lists it as uncharacterized. The transcript is spliced from 3 exons. Lineage: Eukaryota; Metazoa; Chordata; Mammalia; Primates; Lemuridae. The record is from RefSeq and is a predicted model, not a curated record.